UCUUGGUGAGAGGCAUUCAGGGACCUGGAACUGCCUUUGGACACAGGGAGGGCAGAAGCUCUUCUCUGCCCAUGAGACCACCUUAGGAAACUCGUAAUUUGCACUAACCAGGACCUAGCAGCACAGGCUUUAUUUGUGGUGUACAGAUGAGGAAACUGAGGUUCCAAGAGAUGAAGUGAUUUAUCCAAGCACAUGGAGAUUAGGUGCUAACGGUACAAAUACGAUCUCUGCUGACCUCUGGUAAAGACCUCACCAUCCCGGCCCCUUCCGAAACGUGGGGCUCUCCAAGGCGGCCCAGACUCACCGGCUUCGGAAGCUGCGUACUCCUUCCAAGUGUCGCGAAUGCAACAGCUACGUCUACUUCCAGGGAGCUGAGUGCGAGGAGUGCUGCCUGGCCUGUCACAAGAAGUGUCUGGAAACUCUGGCCAUCCAGUGCGGCCACAAGAAGCUGCAGGGAAAACUCCAGUUGUUUGGACAGGACUUCCAGAAGGCAGCCCGGGGCACUGCCGACGGCAUCCCCUUGGUCAUCAAGAAAUGCCUGUCUGAGAUCGAAAGGCGCGCGCUCAGGACCAAGGGGAUCUACCGGAUCAAUGGCGUGAAGACGCGUGUGGAGAAGCUCUGCCAGGCGUUUGAGAACGGCAAAGAGCUGGUGGAGCUAUCGCAGGCCUCCCCGCACAACAUCAGCAAUGUCCUGAAACUCUACCUGCGCCAGGUGAGCCUUGGCCCGGAGGCUGCGGGUGGGCCUCACUGGGGCGAUGAGUGGGGGGUCAGACUGACUUCACCUCUGCGCCCUCUGCACUGUCUGGGCCUUCCUCAGACGGAGGGGCUUCUGACCUUGUCCCGGCCAUUCUUUGGGUCUCAGUGACCUCAUCCCACGAUAAGGAGGUUAGACGUGAUGACCUCUGGGACCUCCUCCAGCUUCAGACCUUGUACUCUGUCUGCUCGUCAGGGCCUGGGGUGGGACGAUGGGAACGUCCGUGUCCCCAACGGGCUUCGCAGUCGGCUUUCCUGUCAGGAGGAGCCGACGAAUAGCCCCGUCCCUAAAAUCAGCCUCUCUCAGGCUGAUUGAUGGGUGUUUAGAGAGGGCAGUGGUUAUUUCUGUGGCGUUGUCAAGGACAAGUCAGGCCAGACUAACCCCAUCUCGUUUAGCAGGUGCUUACUCAAUGUUUAU
Molecule: RNA transcript, 1171 nt
Organism: Vombatus ursinus (common wombat)
Lineage: Eukaryota; Metazoa; Chordata; Mammalia; Diprotodontia; Vombatidae
Gene name: rho GTPase-activating protein 45-like
Exons: 3
Source: RefSeq, a predicted model, not a curated record